GAUGAAGAACGCAGCGAAAUGCGAUAAGUAGUGUGAAUUGCAGAAUUCAGUGAAUCAUCGAAUCUUUGAACGCACAUUGCGCCCGCCAGUAUUCUGGCGGGCAUGCCUGUUCGAGCGUCAUUUCAACCAUCAAGCCCCAGGCUUGUGUUGGGGUCCUGCGGCUGCCGCAGGCCCUGAAAAACAGUGGCGGGCUCGCUGUCACACCGAGCGUAGUAAUACAUCUCGCUUUGGACGUGCGGCGGGUUCUUGCCGUUAAACACCCCCCUUCUCAAGGUUGACCUCGGAUCAGGUAGGAAUACCCGCUGAACUUAAGCAUAUCAAUAAGCGGAGGA
RNAcentral lists this unclassified non-coding RNA (332 nucleotides) under soil metagenome. RNAcentral's name for it is "partial contains 5.8S ribosomal RNA, internal transcribed spacer 2, and large subunit ribosomal RNA". The stretch from base 1 to 120 matches the Rfam family "5.8S ribosomal RNA", at positions 35 to 154 of the family's 154-position model. The record is from RNAcentral.